Molecule: ribosomal RNA, 253 nt
Filed under: uncultured bacterium
Lineage: Bacteria
Description: partial 16S ribosomal RNA
Rfam family: Bacterial small subunit ribosomal RNA
Source: RNAcentral
UACGGGGGGGGCAAGCGUUGUUCGGAAUUAUUGGGCGUAAAGGGCUCGUAGGUGGCCAACUAAGUCAGACGUGAAAUCCCUCAGCUUAACUGGGGAACUGCGUCUGAUACUGGAUGGCUUGAAUCCGGGAGAGGGAUGCAGAAUUCCAGGUGUAGCGGUGAAAUGCGUAGAUAUCUGGAGGAAUACCGGUGGCGAAGGCGGCAUCCUGGACCGGCAUUGACGCUGAGGAGCGAAAGCCAGGGGAGCAAACGGG